GUAGGUAUAAAAACGAGUCGGCACUAAAUAGCUAUACAUUUGCUGAUGUUAAGAGCUAUAUUUGAGACGAUCAAUGAAGAACUUGGAGUUCUAUUAUAGUAAUGUAUGACUAAUCUAUCGAUUCAAUAAUCAUGCGCACAUUUCCGUUACAUGGAUUUGCGGAUAUCCGCUUGUAUGCCAACCGGGAAAAAGUAUAUAUAUAACCGGUUAUUCUUAUCGAUUUGACGUUCUGUUAAAACGGCGCAUUAAAUAGUGUAUUAUUAUUUUUUUACUUGCUAAUUUGGCUAGUGCAGCAGAGAUCUAAAUGAAAGGUUUUGACUAGAUUAAAGCUGUCACAACAUAACACGGAAGCGAUGGGACGUGCUAAAAGUAGCACAGCUUAGGUGUAUUUCACCAGAAAAGGCAUUGAUAUGUCGGCUAUGCAAAGCAGUACUCCGUUACAACGGCAGCAUGUUAAACCACAUCAAAUACAGCCAUCGUAACAGAAGUUAAGUGUCGUUGAAGUACAGCAAAAGAGAAGCUGCAAUAAAGGAAGAGAAGACACUGUCGAAGAGCACACAUGAGGAAGAUGAGCCGUGCCCUAAAAGAGGGAUGUCAAAGCAAGAACCCAAUACUUCAGAGGUAGCCUUGACAGAAGGUGGGGCUCCAGAGCAGUUUGAGUUUCAGUAUGGACUUGAGGGACCAACAUUUAAGAAUGAGAAUGGGGAGUCCUCCAAGAGCCAUCUGUCCAUCAUCAAAGUAGAACAGCUGGACUCCCUCCUCCCAGACCAAACAGACUCCAGCUGUGGUUCAGGGUCACCUGGGGAUUCGGGGCCUCCUGACUCGUCUGGUUCUGGGUCCAAUACUAGUCCGGCUUCACAGUUUUUCAGGAAGUGCCACCAGGCAGGCUGCACACAAUUCAUCUUCUCGGAGUUCACCUCCCGCCUCAGCACCAUCACUGAGAGGAUCGCAUCCCAGCAGGCCAGCGAGGAAGGUGAGACUGAACACCUGAGGAAUAAAAGGGCACUACAUGGAACGAUACAGGCGACUCCUUAUAGAUAAAAUGGCUUGGUACGCUUGUCGGCUAACUAAACCGGAGCAUGCACAUUUUCAAAGUGCACUUGUCAACUGUCUUAUUGCCCAUUGUAAAACUGCUCCUCGUUGGACGUGUGCUUGUAAUAGUGUCAUUAUAGGGGUAUGAUUCUCGCUUGGGGGUGCGAGAAGUUCCGGGUUCAAAUCUCGGAUGAUCCCACAUUAUGUUACGUACGCCUCUUGGAGGAGGGAACGCAACACCCUGCUACACUCAACUCCCCGUGGAGUGAAAGAGGUAUGUGACUAGGUGGAGGUAAAGAGGUAUGUGACUGGAGGUAAAGAGGUAUGUGACUGUAGGUGGAGUGAAAGGUAUGUGAUUGUAGGUGCGGGUAAGGAUCACAGAGGCAGAGAAUAUUACUGGUAACGGAAUUUCUCCUUAACACGGUAAAUGUGGGGAAAGGGGGCUGGAUGGAACCAAAGCAAAGAAAGUUGGAGUUCCCUCGCCUACCUUACCUAGCUAUUCUUAACGCCACCUGGCGCGCUAACCAAAAUACAGGGGGUGGUCUUACCUAGUGUGCAUAGACAGAGUAAAGACUACAGGUAUAUGUAUGCCCACAGGCCUCUUGCCUAAACACUCCCAAGGUGCCUUCCCCUUCUCCCCUGGGAACAAAAACAGAAUAAUUACUAACGUAAAGUGAACAAUUUCAAUAAUCAAAAACACUAAGUCCUUUUGGCAUAUGUAACCGAUGUGAAAUGGCUAGCUAGUUAGCGGGGUGCGUGCUAAUAGCGUUUCAAUCGGUGACGUCACUCGCUCGGAGACCUUGAAGUAGUUGUUCCCCUUGGCUUUUGUGGAGCGAUGGGUAAAGAUGCUUCGUGGGUGUCAGUUGUUGGUGUGUGCAGAGGGUCCCUGGUUCGAGCCCAGGUAGGGGCGAGGAAAGGGACAGAAGCUAAACUGUUACACAUACCUCAGAAGUAGCGGCUACAAAAUACUUCACAACAAAUUUACCAGACUAACAACCAACACAGGACAUACAAAUAAGCUCUCUAACAAAGGAACACUGGCUUUUCAAGCUGCAGAAGGAGUCGGUAAUUGCAGACAGCUGUAUCACCUGAUGAGAGGGCGGGGUCAGAGCUCCAAUCUGCAAUGGGGGCCGACCAAUCAGCUGCUUGGAAGCCAUCCUGAAACACACACAUACAAACCCACAACACAGAAACUGGGGAGCAUAACAAUAUUAAUAUUAACCUAAAUAUUUUCCUGUGUUCACAGAUUUCAACCUCACCCUGAAAGUGCUGGAGGCCUCUGGGAUGCUGCCAGAGAUCUUUACCAAAAGAGACCAAGAAAUGGAGAAGAGACUGAGGGAGCUACAGAGAGAGACUGUUGCGGUGAGGACAGCCAGGUCUGCCAUGAGAGAUGCUUGCGUCAUGAGCUUCACCUCAUGACGGAGCACCGCUGAAGAUCAAAUCGGUUUUAUAAGGCGUUAUAACCAGCAGAGCCUGGUUAUAUUCUGACCACUUGACAGAACUAGGAAGGUAUAGGAGUUUUCCCUGGACCAAUCCCCUCGUCAGGAAAAACUUAGAUCCUCCUUUUAACCGAAAUGUAAAUAUUUCAAACCUUUUGUAUUUUACAUAUUUUUCUACCCGUGUUCAAACUUUGACUCUGUGAAAUCUGAACUCUGACAUUUGAAUGCAGUUUUUCACCCUGGCCACUAACUUGAGUGGCAUGUUAUACAUUAAAUGAGUAAUUGGUAAUAUAAUCUUUUGACAGACAUUGGUUCUGAGGUUAUUGGUGGUGAUUUGAUGUUAGUAGGUGAUCCUUAGUCUCCCGCUCUGUACUGUAUAUUAUAUGCUCACUAACCCUUAACAGACUUAAUAUAUCCUAAUAUACUGAAUGUGCAAAUUAGUAGAUCCAUUUUUUUUAUUGACGGUUACUAUCUCCACUAGUACUAUAAGAUUAAUUAUUUAGAAUACACUGUAAUAUAGUACACUUGAGAGGAAAGUUGAGACCUG
This 3018-nucleotide long non-coding RNA is filed under the name Salmo salar (Atlantic salmon). RNAcentral describes it as "lncRNA (ENSSSAG00000120175.1)". Lineage: Eukaryota; Metazoa; Chordata; Actinopteri; Salmoniformes; Salmonidae. The record is from RNAcentral.